UAAUACGUACCGUACAAACGUUAUUCGGAAUCACUGGGCUUAAAGGGUGCGUAGGCGAUGCGGUAAGUUGGGUGUGAAAUCCCUCGGCUCAACCGAGGAACUGCGCCCAAUACUGCCGUACUCGAGGGAGACAGAGGUAAGCGGAACUGAUGGUGGAGCGGUGAAAUGCGUUGAUAUCAUCAGGAACACCAGUAGCGAAGGCGGCUUACUGGGUCUCUUCUGACGCUGAGGCACGAAAGCUAGUGUAGCGAACGGGAUUAGAUACCCCGGUAGUCCUAGCUGUAAACGAUGAGCACUUGGUCGGAGACUCCUCCAUAGGUUUCCGGUCGUAGCGAAAGUGUUAAGUGCUCCGCCUGGGGAGUAUGGUCGCAAGGCUG
RNAcentral lists this ribosomal RNA (377 nucleotides) under uncultured Planctomycetota bacterium. Its description in RNAcentral is "bacterial SSU rRNA". It matches the Rfam family "Bacterial small subunit ribosomal RNA", at positions 521 to 896 of the family's 1533-position model. The record is from RNAcentral. Lineage: Bacteria; Pseudomonadati; Planctomycetota.